CUCUUCCUCUUUUUUUAAUUUUUUUUUCUGUUUCUUUCAAAGCAAAGUAACCCGUGAAUUGUCAUUGGAGUCUGCACCAACAUUCAUAAAAUACUUCUGAAAAAAAGAAUACCUUUUUCAGCCAGAAAACUAUGGAUCUCUUUUUCUUAGGAUCUCUGCUGAUUUUGUUUCCCCAUUUUUGCAGAUCUUUUCUUCUUUUUUUCCAAUUUUUUGCACUCUGUUUCCUUUUUUUUUGGGGCUCGUUAGUUCCUCGAUUUUGUUUUGGACGAAGAAUUAUGGGAGAUCUCAUCCCACGCUCCAACUCCUCUUCUCCAAGUUUGAAAGGUGCAAACUGUUGGAUAUCCCUCGUUAGUGGAGUGAAAAGGUGUAGCUGGUGUUGAUUGGUAGCAAUAAUUCUUCUCUAGUUGCUGUUGUGAUUGACAAUAUCAAUUAGCUUUAUGGAUGGCUUGUGCUUUCAGCUGCCUUGUGUUUUCGAUGUGCACUGUGUGCACGUGUGUGUGCUUGUGUCGCACCAAAGAGAGAAAGAGAGAGAGCACGGCAGAGAGAAGAGAAAUGUGAGGGAGUGGACUGCUUGUGAGACGCAAGCAAGCAGUCCCACGAACUUGAGGAGGAUGUUUCAGGUGGAAGUUAGCUGGGUUCAUCAAAGGUUCAAGGGAAGGUAUAUCUCUUGGGUGAGAGUGUUUUUCACGUGUAUGAGAUUAGAAGACGAACUUAAUUGGGACUUCUUGUCAUCUGUUUGUACCUUGUACGGACGAAAAUUUCAUUCAUUUCAAAAAGUUAUUGGGUUUGUGUAAACACUUCACUAAAUUUGUAAUUGAUUGCCCAUCUAUUUUCUUUUUUCAAUGUUAUACCAUUUCAUCUCA
Molecule: long non-coding RNA, 863 nt
Organism: Prunus persica (peach)
Lineage: Eukaryota; Viridiplantae; Streptophyta; Magnoliopsida; Rosales; Rosaceae
Exons: 2
Source: RefSeq, a predicted model, not a curated record